This 253-nucleotide ribosomal RNA is filed under the name uncultured bacterium. Its description in RNAcentral is "partial 16S ribosomal RNA". It matches the Rfam family "Bacterial small subunit ribosomal RNA", at positions 524 to 776 of the family's 1533-position model. The record is from RNAcentral.
GACGUAGGGGGCAAGCGUUAUUCGGAAUCACUGGGCGUAAAGCGCACGUAGGCGGCUUCUUAAGUCGGUGGUGAAAUCCUGGAGCUCAACUCCAGAACUGCCUUCGAUACUGAGAGGCUCGAGUCCGGGAGAGGUGAGUGGAACUGCGAGUGUAGGGGUGAAAUUCGUAGAUAUUCGCAAGAACACCAGUGGCGAAGGCGGCUCACUGGCCCGGUACUGACGCUGAGGUGCGAAAGCGUGGGGAGCAAACAGG